RNAcentral lists this non-coding RNA (148 nucleotides) under Homo sapiens (human). Lineage: Eukaryota; Metazoa; Chordata; Mammalia; Primates; Hominidae. The record is from Rfam by way of RNAcentral.
GCCAGGCAUGGUGGUGCAUGCCUGUAAUCCCAGCUACUUGGGAGGCUGAGGCAGAAGAAUCACUUGAACCUGGGAGGCAGAGGUUGCAGUGAGCCAAGAUCAUACCACUGCACUCCAGCCUGGGUGACAGAGUGAGACUCUGUCUCAA